CCUACGGGAGGCUGCAGUGGGGGAUAUUGCACAAUGGGGGAAACCCUGAUGCAGCGACGUCGCGUGAGUGAAGAAGUAUCUCGGGAUUUUAAGCUCUUUCUGCAGGGAAGUAAAGUACAGUACGUGACCAUUAUUCCCCGGCCAAUAACGUUCCAGCAGCCGCGGUAACAUGUAGGGGGCAAGCGUUAUCCGGAUUAACUGGGUGUAAAGGGAGCGUAGACGGGUAUGUAGGACUGGAGUGAAGGCCCGGGGCCCAACCCCGGGACUGCUGUGGAAACUGUGUAACUGGAGUACAGGAGGGGCAGGCGGAAUUCCUGGUGUAGCGGUGAAAUGCGUAGAUAUCAGGAGGAACACCGGCGGCGAAGGCAGCCUGCUGGACUGCAACUGACGUUGAGGCUCGAAAGCGUGGGGAGCAAACAGGAUUAGAUACCCUAGUAGUC
Molecule: ribosomal RNA, 440 nt
Filed under: uncultured bacterium
Lineage: Bacteria
Description: partial 16S ribosomal RNA
Rfam family: Bacterial small subunit ribosomal RNA
Source: RNAcentral